RNAcentral lists this ribosomal RNA (301 nucleotides) under uncultured bacterium. RNAcentral's name for it is "partial 16S ribosomal RNA". It matches the Rfam family "Bacterial small subunit ribosomal RNA", at positions 509 to 807 of the family's 1533-position model. The record is from RNAcentral.
CAGUCGCCGCGGUAAUACAGAGGGUGCGAGCGUUAAUCGGAUUUACUGGGCGUAAAGCGUGCGUAGGCGGCUUCUUAAGUCGGAUGUGAAAUCCCUGAGCUUAACUUAGGAAUUGCAUUCGAUACUGGGAAGCUAGAGUAUGGGAGAGGAUGGUAGAAUUCCAGGUGUAGCGGUGAAAUGCGUAGAGAUCUGGAGGAAUACCGAUGGCGAAGGCAGCCAUCUGGCCUAAUACUGACGCUGAGGUACGAAAGCAUGGGGAGCAAACAGGAUUAGAUAUCCCUGUAGUCCCUGUCUCUUAUAC